Molecule: ribosomal RNA, 549 nt
Filed under: uncultured bacterium
Lineage: Bacteria
Description: bacterial SSU rRNA
Rfam family: Bacterial small subunit ribosomal RNA
Source: RNAcentral
GAAAGGCGGGCUAAUACCGAAUGAUAUCUUGAAAACUUAUGUUUUCAGGAUCAAAGGUGGCCUCUACAUGUAAGCUAUUGUUUGGGGAUGAGCCCGCGUACCAUUAGCUUGUUGGUAGGGUAAUGGCCUACCAAGGCUACGAUGGUUAGCUGGUCUGAGAGGAUGAUCAGCCACACUGGAACUGACACACGGUCCAGACUCCUACGGGAGGCAGCAGUGAGGAAUUUUGCGCAAUGGGGGAAACCCUGACGCAGCAACGCCGCGUGAGUGAUGAAGGCUUUCGGGUCGUAAAGCUCUGUCAAGUGGGAAGAACCCAUAUGGUGUUAAUAUCGCCAUAUGCUGACGGUACCACUGAAGGAAGCACCGGCUAACUCCGUGCCAGCAGCCGCGGUAAUACGGGGGGUGCGAGCGUUAUUCGGAAUUACUGGGCGUAAAGAGCGCGUAGGCGGUCUCUUAAGUCAGGUGUGAAAGCCCGGGGCUCAACCCCGGAAGUACACUUGAAACUAAGAGACUUGAGUAUGGGAGAGGGAAGUGGAAAUUCCUGGUGUA